UCCGGAGGGGGCUAGCGUUGUUCGGAAUUACUGGGCGUAAAGCGCACGUAGGCGGACGAGAAAGUCAGAGGUGAGAUCCCAGGGCUCAACCCUGGAACUGCCUUUGAAACUCCUUGUCUUGAGGUCGAGAGAGGUGAGUGGAAUUCCGAGUGUAGAGGUGAAAUUCGUAGAUAUUCGGAGGAACACCAGUGGCGAAGGCGGCUCACUGGCUCGAUACUGACGCUGAGGUGCGAAAGCGUGGGGAGCAAACAGG
This 253-nucleotide ribosomal RNA is filed under the name uncultured bacterium. RNAcentral describes it as "partial 16S ribosomal RNA". It matches the Rfam family "Bacterial small subunit ribosomal RNA", at positions 524 to 776 of the family's 1533-position model. The record is from RNAcentral.